Molecule: unclassified non-coding RNA, 114 nt
Organism: Colobus angolensis palliatus
Lineage: Eukaryota; Metazoa; Chordata; Mammalia; Primates; Cercopithecidae
Rfam family: Y RNA
About the family: Y RNAs are components of the Ro ribonucleoprotein particle (Ro RNP), in association with Ro60 and La proteins. The Y RNAs and Ro60 and La proteins are well conserved, but the function of the Ro RNP is not known.
Source: Ensembl
GGCUGGUCCAAAGGUAGUGAGUUGUCUCAACUGAUUGUUCACAGUCACUUACAGGUCAAGCUCCUUGUUCUAUUCUUUCCCCUCUGUCUCACUACUGCACUUGAUUGGUCUUAA